RNAcentral lists this ribosomal RNA (433 nucleotides) under uncultured bacterium. RNAcentral describes it as "partial 16S ribosomal RNA". It matches the Rfam family "Bacterial small subunit ribosomal RNA", at positions 29 to 507 of the family's 1533-position model. The record is from RNAcentral.
AACGAACGCUGGCGGCAUGCCUAACACAUGCAAGUCGAACGAGACCUUCGGGUCUAGUGGCGCACAGGUGCGUAACGCGUGGGAACCUGCCCUUAGGUUCGGAAUAACUCCCCGAAAGGGGUGCUAAUACCGGAUAAUGUCUUCGGACCAAAGAUUUAUCGCCUUUGGAUGGGCCCGCGUUGGAUUAGCUAGUUGGUAGGGUAAAAGCCUACCAAGGCGACGAUCCAUAGCUGGUCUGAGAGGAUGAUCAGCCACACUGGGACUGAGACACGGCCCAGACUCCUACGGGAGGCAGCAGUGGGGAGUAUUGGACAAUGGGCGAAAGCCUGAUCCAGCAAUGCCGCGUGAGUGAUGAAGGCCUUAGUGUUGUAAAGCUCUUUUACCCGGGAUGAUAAUGACAGUACCGGGAGAAUAAGCUCCGGCUAACUCCGUG